UUCGUAGGGGGCAAGCGUUGUCCGGAUUUAUUGGGCGUAAAGAGCGUGCAGGCGGUUUGGUAGGUCUGCUGUGAAAACUCGAGGCUCAACCUCGAGACGCCGGUGGAAACCAUCAGACUAGAGUCCGGAAGAGGAGAGUGGAAUUCCUGGUGUAGCGGUGAAAUGCGCAGAUAUCAGGAAGAACACCCGUGGCUAAGGCGGCUCUCUAGUACGGUACUGACGCUGAGACGCGAAAGCGUGGGGAGCGAACAGG
This 253-nucleotide ribosomal RNA is filed under the name uncultured bacterium. RNAcentral describes it as "partial 16S ribosomal RNA". It matches the Rfam family "Bacterial small subunit ribosomal RNA", at positions 524 to 776 of the family's 1533-position model. The record is from RNAcentral.